RNAcentral lists this ribosomal RNA (282 nucleotides) under Caldanaerobacter subterraneus subsp. yonseiensis KB-1. RNAcentral describes it as "partial 16S ribosomal RNA". It matches the Rfam family "Bacterial small subunit ribosomal RNA", at positions 1258 to 1533 of the family's 1533-position model. The record is from RNAcentral. Lineage: Bacteria; Bacillati; Bacillota; Clostridia; Thermoanaerobacterales; Thermoanaerobacteraceae.
UGAUCUGGAGCGAAUCCCAAAAAGCCGGUCUCAGUUCGGAUUGCAGGCUGCAACUCGCCUGCAUGAAGGCGGAAUCGCUAGUAAUCGCGGAUCAGCAUGCCGCGGUGAAUGCGUUCCCGGGCCUUGUACACACCGCCCGUCACACCACGAGAGUCUGCAACACCCGAAGCCGGUGGCCCAACCCGAAGAGGGAGGGAGCCGUCGAAGGUGGGGCAGAUGAUUGGGGUGAAGUCGUAACAAGGUAGCCGUACGGGAACGUGCGGCUGGAUCACCUCCUUUCUA